AAUAUUGGACAAUGGGCGAAAGCCUGAUCCAGCCAUGCCGCGUGAGUGAUGAAGGUCUUCGGAUCGUAAAGCUCUGUGGGAAGGGACGAAAAAGCCUAACCUAAUACGUUAGGUCUUGACGGUACCUUCUUAGCAAGCACCGGCUAAACUCCGUGCCAGCAGCCGCGGUAAUUCCAGCUCCAUGAAUUUAUAUCAAAAGUUGUUGUAGUUAAAAAGCUCGUAGUUGAAAUUAGAAAAAAGAAUGUUGAAAGAUUUUAUCUCUUUUCUGCUUUCUUUCUUCUUUAAAGAACAAAUGAGAUCUUUCUCUUUUGUUCAUUUUACCUUGAAUAAAUUUGAGUGCUUCAAACAAUUGAGAUUUGAUUCGUCAAAUCUAGAUUUUAUUUUGAAGAGUUUAGCAUGGAAUAAUUGAAAACGAUUGGUUGAUUCAGAGACACUUGUGUUUCUGGAUUUAAACUGAUAAUGAUGAAUAGGGAUGAUUUGGGAUAUGGAAAUUGGACAGCUAGAGGUGAAAUUCGCGGAUCU
This 522-nucleotide ribosomal RNA is filed under the name uncultured eukaryote. RNAcentral's name for it is "partial 18S ribosomal RNA". The stretch from base 1 to 184 matches the Rfam family "Bacterial small subunit ribosomal RNA", at positions 360 to 538 of the family's 1533-position model. The record is from RNAcentral.